RNAcentral lists this ribosomal RNA (407 nucleotides) under uncultured bacterium. RNAcentral's name for it is "partial 16S ribosomal RNA". It matches the Rfam family "Bacterial small subunit ribosomal RNA", at positions 28 to 526 of the family's 1533-position model. The record is from RNAcentral.
GACGAACGCUGGCGGCGUGCCUAAUACAUGCAAGUAGAACGCAGUUGCGAACGGGUGAGUAACGCGUAGGUAACUGCCUGGUAGCGGGGGAUAACUAUUGGAAACGAUAGCUAAUACCGCAUACUACCAGAUGGACCUGCGUUGGAUUAGCUAGUUGGUGGGGUAACGGCUCACCAAGGCAACGAUACAUAGCCGACCUCGGAGGAGUAUCGGCCACACUGGGACUGAGACACGGCCCAGACUCCUACGGGAGGAAGCAGUAGGGAAUCUUCCGCAAUGGGGGGAACCCUGACCGAGCAACGCCGCGGGAGUGAUGACGGCUUUCGGGUUGUAAAGCUCUGUUGUUAAGGAAGCGGUACUUAACCAGAAAGGGACGGCUAACUACGUGCCAGCAGCCGCGGUAAUAC